This 429-nucleotide ribosomal RNA is filed under the name Triticum aestivum (bread wheat). Its description in RNAcentral is "partial small subunit ribosomal RNA". Lineage: Eukaryota; Viridiplantae; Streptophyta; Magnoliopsida; Poales; Poaceae. The record is from RNAcentral.
AUGCAAGACGGCCUCUCGGUUGUCCUGAUCCAACAAUUCUACGACCUUUGGAGACAAACUCAGGCGGUGCAUUUGACUCCAGGUACUAAGGAUGGCAUCCGUUGGAAGUUCACCACGGAUGGAUGCUACUCUACCGCUACUGUGUACAGGACGCAGUUUGCUGGUUUGAUCAAGUCUGCAAUGGCUUAGAUGGUUUGGAAGAUCUAGGCACUUCCCAAGAUUAAAUUCUUCUCAUGGCUUGGCCUGCAAGACAGAAUCUGGAUGGUUGAUGGGCUCCAGCGUAGAGGUUGGCCAAAUUGUGGUCUUUCUCAGCUAUAUAAAAGUGAACCGGAAUCGGUGGCGCAUAUCAUGUUCAAGUGCCGCUUCACUAUUAGGGUGUGGAACUUCAUUUUCGAUUGGCUGGGCUGGCAAUCGGCGACCCCAUCCUAG